UACGUAGGUGGCAAGCGUUGUCCGGAAUUACUGGGUGUAAAGGGAGCGCAGGCGGGAAGCCAAGUCAGCUGUGAAAACUACGGGCUUAACUUGUAGACUGCAGUUGAAACUGGUUUUCUUGAGUGAAGUAGAGGUUGGCGGAAUUCCGAGUGUAGCGGUGAAAUGCGUGGAUAUUCGGAGGAACACCGGUGGCGAAGGCGGCCAACUGGGCUUUAACUGACGCUGAGGCUCGAAAGUGUGGGGAGCAAACAGG
RNAcentral lists this ribosomal RNA (253 nucleotides) under uncultured bacterium. RNAcentral's name for it is "partial 16S ribosomal RNA". It matches the Rfam family "Bacterial small subunit ribosomal RNA", at positions 524 to 776 of the family's 1533-position model. The record is from RNAcentral.